GAUGAACGCUGGCGGCGUGCCUAAUACAUGCAAGUCGAGCGAACGGACGAGAAGCUUGCUUCUCUGAUGUUAGCGGCGGACGGGUGAGUAACACGUGGAUAACCUACCUAUAAGACUGGGAUAACUUCGGGGAACCGGAGCUAAUACCGGAUGAUAUUUUGAACCGCAUGGUUCAAAAGUGAAAGACGGUCUUGCUGUCACUUAUAGAUGGAUCCGCGCUGCAUUAGCUAGUUGGUAAGGUAACGGCUUACCAAGGCAACGAUGCAUAGCCGACCUGAGAGGGUGAUCGGCCACACUGGAACUGAGACACGGUCCAGACUCCUACGGGAGGCAGCAGUAGGGAAUCUUCCGCAAUGGGCGAAAGCCUGACGGAGCAACGCCGCGUGAGUGAUGAAGGUCUUCGGAUCGUAAAACUCUGUUAUUAGGGAAGAACAUAUGUGUAAGUAACUGUGCACAUCUUGACGGUACCUAAUCAGAAAGCCACGGCUAACUACGUGCCAGCAGCCGCGGUAAUACGUAGGUGGCAAGCGUUAUCCGGAAUUAUUGGGCGUAAAGCGCGCGUAGGCGGUUUUUUAAGUCUGAUGUGAAAGCCCACGGCUCAACCGUGGAGGGUCAUUGGAAACUGGAAAACUUGAGUGCAGAAGAGGAAAGUGGAAUUCCAUGUGUAGCGGUGAAAUGCGCAGAGAUAUGGAGGAACACCAGUGGCGAAGGCGACUUUCUGGUCUGUAACUGACGCUGAUGUGCGAAAGCGUGGGGAUCAAACAGGAUUAGAUACCCUGGUAGUCCACGCCGUAAACGAUGAGUGCUAAGUGUUAGGGGGUUUCCGCCCCUUAGUGCUGCAGCUAACGCAUUAAGCACUCCGCCUGGGGAGUACGACCGCAAGGUUGAAACUCAAAGGAAUUGACGGGGACCCGCACAAGCGGUGGAGCAUGUGGUUUAAUUCGAAGCAACGCGAAGAACCUUACCAAAUCUUGACAUCCUUUGACAACUCUAGAGAUAGAGCCUUCCCCUUCGGGGGACAAAGUGACAGGUGGUGCAUGGUUGUCGUCAGCUCGUGUCGUGAGAUGUUGGGUUAAGUCCCGCAACGAGCGCAACCCUUAAGCUUAGUUGCCAUCAUUAAGUUGGGCACUCUAAGUUGACUGCCGGUGACAAACCGGAGGAAGGUGGGGAUGACGUCAAAUCAUCAUGCCCCUUACGAUUUGGGCUACACACGUGCUACAAUGGACAAUACAAAGGGCAGCGAAACCGCGAGGUCAAGCAAAUCCCAUAAAGUUGUUCUCAGUUCGGAUUGUAGUCUGCAACUCGACUACAUGAAGCUGGAAUCGCUAGUAAUCGUAGAUCAGCAUGCUACGGUGAAUACGUUCCCGGGUCU
This 1372-nucleotide ribosomal RNA is filed under the name uncultured bacterium. RNAcentral describes it as "bacterial SSU rRNA". It matches the Rfam family "Bacterial small subunit ribosomal RNA", at positions 28 to 1381 of the family's 1533-position model. The record is from RNAcentral.